RNAcentral lists this ribosomal RNA (503 nucleotides) under uncultured bacterium. RNAcentral describes it as "partial 16S ribosomal RNA". It matches the Rfam family "Bacterial small subunit ribosomal RNA", at positions 30 to 523 of the family's 1533-position model. The record is from RNAcentral.
AUUGAACGCUGGCGGCAUGCCUUACACAUGCAAGUCGAACGGCAGCAUGGAGAGCUUGCUCUCUGAUGGCGAGUGGCGAACGGGUGAGUAAUGCAUCGGAACGUACCGUGUAAUGGGGGACAACGUAGCGAAAGUUACGCUAAUACCGCAUACGACCUGAGGGUGAAAGCAGGGGAUCGCAAGACCUUGCGUUAUACGAGCGGCCGAUGUCAGAUUAGCUAGUUGGUGAGGUAAAGGCUCACCAAGGCGACGAUCUGUAGCGGGUCUGAGAGGAUGAUCCGCCACACUGGGACUGAGACACGGCCCAGACUCCUACGGGAGGCAGCAGUGGGGAAUUUUGGACAAUGGGGGCAACCCUGAUCCAGCCAUGCCGCGUGAGUGAAGAAGGCCUUCGGGUUGUAAAGCUCUUUCGGCCGGGAAGAAAUCGCACAGGCUAAUACUCUGUGUGGAUGACGGUACCGGCAUAGAAGCACCGGCUAACUACGUGCCAGCAGCCGCCGUAA